RNAcentral lists this ribosomal RNA (254 nucleotides) under uncultured bacterium. RNAcentral describes it as "partial 16S ribosomal RNA". It matches the Rfam family "Bacterial small subunit ribosomal RNA", at positions 32 to 297 of the family's 1533-position model. The record is from RNAcentral.
AAUCAACGCCGGCGGCGUGCCUAACACAUGCAAGUCGAACGAGAAAGUGGAGCAAUCCAUGAGUAAAGUGGCGCACGGGUGAGUAACACGUGACUAACCUACCCUUGAGUGGGGGAUAACCUAGGGAAACCUGGGCUAAUACCGCAUAAUACCUACGGGUCAAAGGAGCAAUUCGCUUUAGGAGGGGGUCGCGGCAGAUUAGUUAGUUGGCGGGGUAAGUGCCCACCAAGACGAUGAUCUGAUCCGGCCUGAGA